UAGUCCACGCCGUAAACGAUGGAUACUAGCUGUCCGGGACCUUGAGUUCUGGGCGGCCAAGCGAAAGUGAUAAGUAUCCCACCUGGGGAGUACGUUCGCAAGAAUGAAACUCAAAGGAAUUGACGGGGGCCCGCACAAGCGGUGGAGCAUGUGGUUUAAUUCGAUGAUACGCGAGGAACCUUACCAGGGCUUAAAUGCAUAUUGACAGGUCUAGAGAUAGACUUUCCUUCGGGCAAUUUGCAAGGUGCUGCAUGGUUGUCGUCAGCUCGUGCCGUGAGGUGUCAGGUUAAGUCCUAUAACGAGCGCAACCCCUGUCGUUAGUUGCCAGCGAGUCAUGUCGGGGACUCUAACGAGACUGCCGGUGCAAACCGCGAGGAAGGUGGGGAUGACGUCAAAUCAUCACGGCCCUUACGACCUGGGCUACACACGUGCUACAAUGGACAGUACAAAGGGUCGCGAAAGCGCGAGCCGGAGCUAAUCCCAUAAAACUGUUCGUAGUCCGGA
RNAcentral lists this ribosomal RNA (504 nucleotides) under uncultured bacterium. RNAcentral's name for it is "bacterial SSU rRNA". It matches the Rfam family "Bacterial small subunit ribosomal RNA", at positions 791 to 1297 of the family's 1533-position model. The record is from RNAcentral.